This 580-nucleotide ribosomal RNA is filed under the name uncultured cyanobacterium. Its description in RNAcentral is "bacterial SSU rRNA". It matches the Rfam family "Bacterial small subunit ribosomal RNA", at positions 802 to 1382 of the family's 1533-position model. Lineage: Bacteria; Bacillati; Cyanobacteriota. The record is from RNAcentral.
GUAAACGAUGAACACUAGGUGUCGGGGGAAUCGACCCCUUCGGUGUCGUAGCUAACGCGUUAAGUGUUCCGCCUGGGGAGUACGCACGCAAGUGUGAAACUCAAAGGAAUUGACGGGGGCCCGCACAAGCGGUGGAGUAUGUGGUUUAAUUCGAUGCAACGCGAAGAACCUUACCAGGGUUUGACAUCCUGCGAACCUCUUAGAAACAGGAGAGUGCCUUCGGGAAUGCAGUGACAGGUGGUGCAUGGCUGUCGUCAGCUCGUGUCGUGAGAUGUUGGGUUAAGUCCCGCAACGAGCGCAACCCACGUCUUUAGUUGCCAGCAUUUAGUUGGGCACUCUAGAGAGACUGCCGGUGAUAAACCGGAGGAAGGUGUGGAUGACGUCAAGUCAUCAUGCCCCUUACAUCCUGGGCUACACACGUACUACAAUGCUACGGACAAAGGGCAGCAAGUUCGCGAGGACAAGCAAAUCCCAUAAACCGUGGCUCAGUUCAGAUCGUAGGCUGCAACUCGCCUACGUGAAGGCGGAAUCGCUAGUAAUCGCAGGUCAGCAUACUGCGGUGAAUACGUUCCCGGGCCUU